Molecule: transfer RNA, 63 nt
Filed under: Paramblynotus sp. ZJUH 20220012
Lineage: Eukaryota; Metazoa; Arthropoda; Insecta; Hymenoptera; Liopteridae
Description: tRNA-Cys
Source: RNAcentral
AAUUUAAUAGUUUAUAAUAAAAUUUUAAAUUGCAAAUUUAAAGAUAAUUAAUUUUUUAAAUUU